CAAAUCCCCACAUCUUCAAGCUAGAGAAACACCGUUCUAAAGUCUUACUGGUAGUCCUUGAUGUACGAUUGUAACUGAGCCUGGAAUUUAUGAUAGCAAGUCAUGCUUUUUAAGUGGAUCACCACAUGACCAUGCCCCAUUUUGCAGUGGUCAUUAAGCAAACACAGUGGUCAUUAAGUGAAUCCGUUUUCCAAUGGGCAUUUUUUUUUUGCCAGAACUCAGAGACAGACACCAGAAAAGGGCAAAAAACAUAAACAAUUAUGGUCUCAUGAUCGCAGGAUGCUGCAAACAGCCAUAAAAGUGAGUCGGUUGCCAAACACCCAAAAUGUGACCAUGCGAUUGCAGGAAUGUGUGUGCAUGUGGCCAUCAGAACUUUGAAAAUGGGAUCAGGAACCAAUGAAGCUGUUGUAACUAGAGAGUCACAUCCUCUAUCUAAGUGGCCUGGUUUCAAGUCAGCUGAAGUUUCUGAACAAUGUCAAAGGUCGGUGUUGAAUUCACAUGCGUCUCCCUGUGUGCAAAACAAAAAAGCCUCAAACUUACCAACGUAACGCCCUCCAGGCUUGAUGACAAUGGCACCCCGGCUCCGUGUCUCCUCUUCCACCAGGGCCAUGCUCUGC
Molecule: long non-coding RNA, 617 nt
Organism: Crotalus tigris (Tiger rattlesnake)
Lineage: Eukaryota; Metazoa; Chordata; Lepidosauria; Squamata; Viperidae
Exons: 3
Source: RefSeq, a predicted model, not a curated record